This is a long non-coding RNA of Anoplophora glabripennis (Asian longhorned beetle), 1921 nucleotides long. RefSeq lists it as uncharacterized. The record is from RefSeq and is a predicted model, not a curated record. NCBI's taxonomy places the organism in Eukaryota, Metazoa, Arthropoda, Insecta, Coleoptera, Cerambycidae. The transcript has 2 exons.
UACUUUACUUUGUCGCUCUCAUGUAAAGGCAGAUGGACCAUGUGGAUUUUCCAGCCCUGUAUAUUAUUUACUUAGAUUUAGUAAAGUUUGCCUAUUCACAUACACAUAUUAAUAUUUAACAAACCAUGCAAGAAAUAUUAAUUUUCUAAAAACACUUGAAUUUUUUUUAAAUAUUUGGCAUUUCUUAUAUAUUGUCAGAAAAACAUGGUGAUUUUAAAAUAAGAUGAUGCAAAACCAUACAAAAGCAGUUUGUUUUUACGAAAUUAUUUCCAUUGAAGUUUCAUUCUGUACCAUUCUGUCAGUUUCAGACAGUUGGUUUAAAAAAAGUAACAACAUGCAACAAUGAUGCGGGUUAACAUCAAAGUUCCCUCUAAGCUGCGCGGGUGUGCAGCCAUUCACUAAUUUUCCGAAAGUUGCGUAGCCAUCUUUGUAUUCUGCGCACAAUGGGCUUCUUUGCCAUUUUUUUAAAUUUCAUUUUAUAAAAGAAUUGCAUCUAAAAACGGCAAAAACCCAAAUUUCACAAAAAGUAAAAAUUAAGAGGGUCAAAAAAAUUUUUGAAAUCGACGUUUGACAUUUAAACGUAAAAUGAAAAUGUCAUUCAAACAUAGUAGAUCUUGCCCCUAAUAAAGAAAGAAUAUUCACACUUGCACACUUUUACGUUUUGAACAUUUUUGCUCCCAUUUAUUUUUGUACCAUGUAGUCAACGAAAAAAUUUGAGGGAACAUUGGUUCACAUACAACCCAAAUCAGAAGCUGUCCAGUUACAGCAUAGAUAAGAAUUUGAAUGUAGUUUAAAAAAUAAAUAAAUAAUAAUUUUGUAGUAGUUCUCUGGGGAUAAUAUACUAUUACCCUUAAAGAACUGACCCCCAUUUAAAGAUACACACUGUAUAACACUUACAUUUUCACCGGCUAUCACUGAUGUGCAUCUUAGAAUUUUAAAUAUUUAUUAUCUUGAUCAGUCUCAAAUAUCAGCUUUCAUAGAUAAUUAUUUUUUGCAGAUAUUUGACCUUUUUGCUUAUUUGCUGUUUUAAAAAUAAACUUUCUUAAUGAGAUUUAUUUACAGUUUAAAGGUGAUUUGUAUAUACUUUUUAAAAAUAUUGAAGUAAUUAACCAUUUUGUUAGAUGGUGGGUGGCUCAAAAAAUUUAUGUAGUGUGUCUAAAACAUGUAGAGUGGGUUAAUUUUUGUCUAAUUAAAAACUGAAUACGUCACUAAACAUAAAAAUUUUUUAAAAUGGGGUGUCACUCAACCUGCUUUACAAUUUACACCUGUUUGUAGUGUCGUAGCUAAGGCCAUGAGUGCCUAGGGCAAGAUUUGAAUUUUGCGCCCCCCAAAACUUAUUUUGUAGGAAGGGAAAUAAUACAAUAACAGGCUGCGAGUCCGCGAGGGCGUUCCCUUGAGAUUUGCACCCCUGGCAGCCUCUAGCUACGAUGCUGCUUGUUUGCACCAAAAUUAAUAAGCAUUUCUUAACAAUAAGAUAUUUUUAAGAGGGCUUAAUUUAUUGCAUUGUUUGCUACGCUAUUUUUAAGUAUGAAAACAUUUGCUCAAAUCUAAAUCUCCAAUUAAAGACUACGUACAUAAGAUGUUCCUUAAUCAAAUAAAUUUAUCAAGCCUUUUCAGAGCAUGAAGAAACUUACCAACAUCACGGGAUGGGCAAAAUUAUACUUAAAUUAGGUGCAGCGUUCCAGUUAUACAUUGUUGUGGCCCAUUAAGAACCAGGACACCCCACCAAAAAGUUUUUAGAAGAAAUUUUUGGGUCGAUCAAUUUAGGGGUUUUUAAAUCUUAAAACCAAUUUUUUUUAUAUAUUUUUGUACAGGCAGUUUUAAAUGUUUGAAAUUUAGUUUUUUUUAAGUAAAAAUUUAGGAUGUUUUGGGAAUGUUUGAAAUGUUGGUUAUAACUAAAAUAAAAAACUAAAAAACAGAA